GGGGGAAAAAUUGGAUCGAUAGCCAUGCGAGUCGAGAGGGUUCGGCCCUCGGCUGACUGCUCAGUAACGCGUGGAUCAUUUGCCCUUAGGUGGAGGAUAACUUCGGGAAACUGAGAAUACUACUCCAUAGGUCUAGGAUGCUGGAAUGCACUUAGGCUCAAAGUUCCGACGCCUAAGGAUGAGUCUGCGGACUAUCAGGUUGUAGUCAGGGUAAUGACCUGACUAGCCUACGACGGAUACGGGUUGUGAGAGCAAUAACCCGGAGAUGAUAUCUGAGACACGAUAUCAGGCCCUACGGGGCGCAGCAGGCGCGAAAACUUCACAAUGCGCGAAAGCGCGAUGAGGGAAUCCCAAGUGCUUGCACGUAAGUGUAAGCUGUUUUUAUGUUUAAAAAGCAUAGAGAGUAAGGGCUGGGUAAGACGGGUGCCAGCCGCCGCGGUAAUACCUGCAGCUCAAGUGGUGACCGCUAUUAUUGGGCCUAAAACGUCCGUAGCCGGUUUAAUAAAUGCCCGGGUAAAUCGUGUAGCUUAACUAUACGAAUUCCGGGUAGACUGUUAAACUUGAGACCGGGAGAAGUUAGAGGUACUCCUGGGGUAGAGGUGAAAUUCUGUAAUCCUAGGGGGACCACCAGUGGCGAAGGCGUCUGACUAGAACGGGUCUGACGGUGAGGGACGAAGCCCUGGGGCGCAAACCGGAUUAGAUACCCGGGUAGUCCAGGGUGUAAACGCUGCUUGCUUGAUGUUAGUUGGGCUCAGAGCCCAAUUAGUGUCGGAGAGAAGUUGUUAAGCAAGCUGCCUGGGAAGUACGGUCGCAAGACUGAAACUCAAAGGAAUUGACGG
Molecule: ribosomal RNA, 839 nt
Filed under: uncultured archaeon
Lineage: Archaea
Description: bacterial SSU rRNA
Rfam family: Archaeal small subunit ribosomal RNA
Source: RNAcentral